CUCUAGCCCCGAUUGAAGUGAAAAUUCUUUUUAUUUUUCCUUUAAAAAUAAAAAGAUUACUUCACUAAACUUUUAUUUUUAUAGGAGUUCAGUGAAUACAUUUGAAACGAAAAGCGGGAUUAGCU
This 125-nucleotide small RNA is filed under the name Flavobacterium sp. 1. RNAcentral's name for it is "Flavo-1 RNA". It matches the Rfam family "Flavo-1 RNA". Lineage: Bacteria; Pseudomonadati; Bacteroidota; Flavobacteriia; Flavobacteriales; Flavobacteriaceae. The record is from RNAcentral.